AGAGUUUGAUCCUGGCUCAGAACGAACGCUGGCGGCGCGCCUAAUACAUGCAAGUCGAGCGAGAAGGUGUAGUGAUACACUUGUAAAGCGGCGAACGGGUGAGGAAUACAUGGGUAAUCUACCAUCGAGUGGGGAAUAACCAACCGAAAGGUUGGCUAAUACCGCGUACGCCUCCGGAUCUUCGGGUUCGGAGGGAAAGCUGCACUGUGAGUGUAGCGCUCUUUGAUGAGCUCGUGUCCUAUCAGCUUGUUGGUAGGGUAACGGCCUACCAAGGCUUUGACGGGUAGCUGGUCUGAGAGGACGAUCAGCCACACUGGCACUGCGACACGGGCCAGACUCCUACGGGAGGCAGCAGUAAGGAAUAUUGCGCAAUGGGCGAAAGCCUGACGCAGCGACGCCGCGUGGGGGAUGAAGGUCUUCGGAUUGUAAACCCCUUUCGGGAGGGAAGAUGGAGCGAGCAAUCGUUCGGACGGUACCUCCAGAAGCAGCCACGGCCAACUUCGUGCCAGCAGCCGCGGUAAUACGAAGGUGGCAAGCGUUGUUCGGAUUCACUGGGCGUACAGGGUGUGUAGGCGGUUUGGUAAGCCUUCUGUUAAAGCUUCGGGCCCAACCCGGAAAGCGCAGAGGGUACUGCCAGGCUAGAGGGUGGGAGAGGAGCGCGGAAUUCCCGGUGUAGCGGUGAAAUGCGUAGAGAUCGGGAGGAAGGCC
RNAcentral lists this ribosomal RNA (708 nucleotides) under uncultured Nitrospira sp. Its description in RNAcentral is "bacterial SSU rRNA". It matches the Rfam family "Bacterial small subunit ribosomal RNA", at positions 8 to 710 of the family's 1533-position model. The record is from RNAcentral. Lineage: Bacteria; Pseudomonadati; Nitrospirota; Nitrospiria; Nitrospirales; Nitrospiraceae.